Long non-coding RNA from Oncorhynchus nerka (sockeye salmon), 652 nucleotides. RefSeq lists it as uncharacterized. The transcript has 4 exons. The record is from RefSeq and is a predicted model, not a curated record. Lineage: Eukaryota; Metazoa; Chordata; Actinopteri; Salmoniformes; Salmonidae.
UUGCUUCAGGAUACAAAAUGACAGCAGUCGUCUUUAGUCCUAGCAAGAAUGUCAUGAAUGUGGAUGAGGUCCAAAGAAAGGGUUAUGCAAUAGCCAACACUCUCACACGGCUGGUGUUAAGAAGCCCUCAUAAUGCAGAGGAGACAUACCUCCAGAAUGUAGCUGGGGUUCCGAUGCGGGUGCUCUCAACCUUCUUUGAGCAGAAGUGGCUGGUUACUCGAGUAGAUGCCACGGCUGUUUGUCCAACACCAGAGGCAGUGACCUUUACUCCAGAAGUGAUCACCUGGUACAUGCCCAAGCACAGACCCACUUUUGUCCUCUGAUGCCUUCACCAUGUUGGAGGUGUACAUGGGAAUUGACGCUAAGAGGCAGGACACUGAGGAAAUGGCUGCCAGAAACUACUCGGUUUUAGUCACAGAGGCUCAUAUUAUUGUUGAAAUUCCAGUGGGGGCGGUUGGCGGCUACUUCAAGAGCCAUAUUCAGGAUGACCAGUACUUUGUCACUUACACCAUUGAGCCCAUGCUUGAGUUGCUGUGGAUCGAGGAGGUCGCACAUGAGGACACCAGCUAUAAAGUCCUCUUCCCUAUCACAACGCCUCCGAUGGCCAGGCCUCCACAAGUUCGCAACUGUGAGUCUGGUUUAGUUAAAUAGU